This 253-nucleotide ribosomal RNA is filed under the name uncultured bacterium. RNAcentral's name for it is "partial 16S ribosomal RNA". It matches the Rfam family "Bacterial small subunit ribosomal RNA", at positions 524 to 776 of the family's 1533-position model. The record is from RNAcentral.
UACGGGGGGGGCAAGCGUUGUUCGGAAUUACUGGGCGUAAAGGGCUCGUAGGCGGCCAACUAAGUCAGACGUGAAAUCCCUCGGCUUAACCGGGGAACUGCAUCUGAUACUGGAUGGCUUGAGUUCGGGAGAGGGAUGCGGAAUUCCAGGUGUAGCGGUGAAAUGCGUAGAUAUCUGGAGGAACACCGGUGGCGAAGGCGGCAUCCUGGACCGACAUUGACGCUGAGGCGCGAAAGCCAGGGGAGCAAACGGG